Molecule: ribosomal RNA, 1240 nt
Filed under: metagenome
Description: bacterial LSU rRNA
Rfam family: Bacterial large subunit ribosomal RNA
Source: RNAcentral
UGAAUACGAGACGCUACGGCGUCGAAGCAGUCUAUGUCAUACUUCCAAGAAAAGCUCGCAAUGUCAUAAACAAAUAAUGCCUGUACCAUAACCGACACAGGUGGGUAGGUAGGGUAUACUAAGGGGCGCGAGAUAACUCUCUCUAAGGAACUCGGCAAAAUGACUCCGUAACUUCGGGAGAAGGAGUGCCUUAUUUAUAAGGUUGCAAUAACAAGAUCCAAGCAACUGUUUAUCAAAAACACAGGUCUCCGCUAAGUCGUAAGACGAUGUAUGGGGCUGACGCCUGCCCAGUGCCAGAAGGUUAAAGUAGUUGGUUAGCAUUCGCGAAGCUGAUAACUGAAGCCCUGGUGAACGGCGGCCGUAACGAUAACGGUCCUAAGGUAGCGAAAUUCCUUGUCGGGUAAGUUCCGACCCGCACGAAAGGCGUAAUGAUUUGGAUACUGUCUCGGAGAGGGGCUCGGUGAAAUAGACUUGUCUGUGAAGAUGCGGACUACCUGCACCUGGACAGAAAGACCCUAUGAAGCUUUACUGUAACUUGAAAUUGAAAUUGGACUUUAUUUGCGCAGCAUAGGUGGGAGGCGUUGAGAGUAUUCUUGCGGGAAUAUUGGAGCCAUCAGUGAGAUACCACUCUUGUAAUGUUAGAUUUCUAACUUUGGAUCAUUAUCUGGUCAAAGAACAGUUUCAGGCGGGCAGUUUGACUGGGGCGGUCGCCUCCCAAAUGGUAACGGAGGCGUACAAAGGUUUCCUCUGAACGGGUAGAAAUCGUAUCUAGAGUGUAAAGGCAUAAGGAAGCUUGACUGUGAGACCUACAAGUCGAGCAGGGACGAAAGUCGGUCUUAGUGAUCUGACGGUGCUGAGUGGAAAGGCCGUCACUCAACGGAUAAAAGUUACUCUAGGAUAACAGGCUGAUCUCCCCCAAGAGUUCACAUCGACGGGGAGGUUUGGCACCUCGAUGUCGGCUCAUCGCAUCCUGGGGCGGUAGUACGUCCCAAGGGUUGGGCUGUUCGCCCAUGAAAGCGGUACGCGAGCUGGGUUCAGAACGUCGUGAGACAGUUCGGUCCAUAUCCGGUGUAGGCGUUAGAAUAUUGAGAGGAGCCUUCUUUAGUACGAGAGGACCGAGAAGGACAUACCUCUGGUGUACCAGUUAUCGUGCCAACGGUAAACGCUGGGUAGCUAUGUAUGGAGAGGAUAACCGCUGAAAGCAUCUAAGUGGGAAGCCCACCUCAAGAUAAGUAUUCUC